GGUAAUACAGAGGGUGCAAGCGUUAAUCGGAAUUAACUGGGCGGUAAAGACGCGCGUAGGUGGUUUGUUAAGUUGAAUGUGAAAUACCCCGGGCCGUCAACCUGGGAACGUGCAUCCAAACUAGGCAAGCUAGAGUAGGGCGAGAGGGUGGUGGAAUUUCCUGUGUAGCGGUGAAAUGCGUAGAUAUAGGAAGGAACACCAGUGGCGAAGGCGACCACCUGGGCUCAUACUGACACUGAGGUGCGAAAGCGUGGGGAGCAAACAGG
Molecule: ribosomal RNA, 266 nt
Filed under: uncultured Pseudomonas sp.
Lineage: Bacteria; Pseudomonadati; Pseudomonadota; Gammaproteobacteria; Pseudomonadales; Pseudomonadaceae
Description: partial 16S ribosomal RNA
Rfam family: Bacterial small subunit ribosomal RNA
Source: RNAcentral